AGAGUUUGAUCCUGGCUCAGGACGAACGCUGGCGGUGUGCUUCACACAUGCAAGUCGCACGGAGUAGCAAUACUCAGUGGCGGACGGGUGAGUAACACGUGGGAAUCUACCAUUAGGUGGGGAAUAACAGGCCGAAAGGACUGCUAAUGCCGCAUAUGUAGGCAUCUCGACAGAGAUGUUUAUGAAAGGAGUAAUCCGCCUUUUGAUGAGCCCGCGUCCGAUUAGCUAGUUGGUAGGGUAAAAGCCUACCAAGGCGACGAUCGGUAGGUGGUCUGAGAGGAUGAUCACCCACAAUGGGACUGAGACACGGCCCAUACUCCUACGGGAGGCAGCAGUGGGGAAUUUUACGCAAUGGGGGAAACCCUGACGUAGCGACACCGCGUGAGCGAAGAAGCCCUUUGGGGUGUAAAGCUCUGUCAACAGGAACGAAACAAAUGACGGUACCUGUGGAGGAAGCAGCGGCUAACUACGUGCCAGCAGCCGCGGUAAGACGUAGGAUGCAAGCGUUGUCCGGAUUUAUUGGGCGUAAAGAGUUCGUAGGCGGUUUGUUAAGUCUGAUGUUAAAGACCGGGGCUCAACCUCGGAAAUGCAUUGGAUACUGGCAGACUGGAGUGCAGUAGAGGCUAGUGGAAUUCCCAGUGUAGCGGUGAAAUGCGUAGA
RNAcentral lists this ribosomal RNA (660 nucleotides) under uncultured bacterium. RNAcentral's name for it is "bacterial SSU rRNA". It matches the Rfam family "Bacterial small subunit ribosomal RNA", at positions 8 to 694 of the family's 1533-position model. The record is from RNAcentral.